Molecule: long non-coding RNA, 138 nt
Filed under: Chinchilla lanigera (long-tailed chinchilla)
Lineage: Eukaryota; Metazoa; Chordata; Mammalia; Rodentia; Chinchillidae
Description: lncRNA (ENSCLAG00000028994.1)
Source: RNAcentral
GGAAGACUGAAGGAAAGAAAGGAGACUCAAAUUUCAAAGAAGAAGAAUUAAUUAAGACCUAUCUUCAAAGAAAUGGGAAUGUACUUAAGAGAAACCAGUCAAACUCUAGUACAAGGAAGUGUCGAGUUGCCUGCGGAU